UACAGAGGGUGCGAGCGUUAAUCGGAAUGACUGGGCGUAAAGGGCGCGUAGGCGGCUCGUGAAGUCGGGUGUGAAAGCCCGGGGCUCAACCCCGGAACGGCAUCCGAUACUGGCGGGCUUGAGACCGGGAGAGGAGGGUGGAAUACCCAGUGUAGAGGUGAAAUUCGUAGAUAUUGGGUGGAACACCGGUGGCGAAAGCGGCUCUCUGGCCCGGAUCUGACACUGAUGCACGAAAGCGUGGGGAUCAAACAGG
This 253-nucleotide ribosomal RNA is filed under the name uncultured bacterium. Its description in RNAcentral is "partial 16S ribosomal RNA". It matches the Rfam family "Bacterial small subunit ribosomal RNA", at positions 524 to 776 of the family's 1533-position model. The record is from RNAcentral.